RNAcentral lists this ribosomal RNA (496 nucleotides) under uncultured bacterium. Its description in RNAcentral is "partial 16S ribosomal RNA". It matches the Rfam family "Bacterial small subunit ribosomal RNA", at positions 29 to 507 of the family's 1533-position model. The record is from RNAcentral.
ACGCACGCUGGCGGCGUGCCUAAUACAUGCAAGUUGAGCGAUGAAGAUUGGUGCUUGCACCCAUUUGAAGAGCAGCGAACGGGUGAGUAACGCGUGGGGAAUCUGCCUUUGAGCGGGGGACAACAUUUGGAAACGAAUGCUAAUACCGCAUAACAACUUUAAACAUAAGUUUUAAGUUUGAAAGAUGCAAUUGCAUCACUCAAAGAUGAUCCCGCGUUGUAUUAGCUAGUUGGUGAGGUAAAGGCUCACCAAGGCGAUGAUACAUAGCCGACCUGAGAGGGUGAUCGGCCACAUUGGGACUGAGACACGGCCCAAACUCCUACGGGAGGCAGCAGUAGGGAAUCUUCGGCAAUGGACGAAAGUCUGACCGAGCAACGCCGCGUGAGUGAAGAAGGUUUUCGGAUCGUAAAACUCUGUUGGUAGAGAAGAACGUUGGUGAGAGUGGAAAGCUCAUCAAGUGACGGUAACUACCCAGAAAGGGACGGCUAACUACGUG